Molecule: ribosomal RNA, 390 nt
Filed under: Dociostaurus minutus
Lineage: Eukaryota; Metazoa; Arthropoda; Insecta; Orthoptera; Acrididae
Description: 12S ribosomal RNA
Rfam family: Microsporidia small subunit ribosomal RNA
Source: RNAcentral
AUACCCUAUUAUUUUAAGUGUUAAUUUUGCUUACCUGGGUACUAUUAGUUAAGAUCUUUAAACCCAAAGAAUUUGGCGGUACCUUAUUCCAUUCAGAGGAACCUACCCCAUGAUUGAUAGUGCACGAUUGACUUUACUUAAUUUAUUUGUUUGUAUAUCUCCGUUAUCAGAAAAUCUUAUUGGAGUUAUAAUUUUCUUGAUUUAUAAUUAUAAAAUAUUUCAGGUCAAGGUGCAGCUUAUAAUUAAGAGGAGGUGGGUUACAAUAAAUUUUUGUUUAUUAUGGAUUUAAUGGUGAAAUACUAUUAAUGAAGGUGGAUUUGAUAGUAAUUUAAUUUAUUUAAUUUAAUUGAUAUUGGCUCUGAGGUGUGUACACAUCGCCCGUCACUCUCA